GGAACGAACGCUGGCGGCAUGCCUAACACAUGCAAGUCGAACGAUCUCUUCGGGGAUAGUGGCGCACGGGUGCGUAACGCGUGGGAAUCUGCCCUUGGGUUCGGAAUAACAGUUGGAAACGACUGCUAAUACCGGAUGAUGACGUUAAGUCCAAAGAUUUGUCGCCCAGGGAUGAGCCCGCGUAGGAUUAGCUAGUUGGUGAGGUAAAGGCUCACCAAGGCGACGAUCCUUAGCUGGUCUGAGAGGAUGAUCAGCCACACUGGGACUGAGACACGGCCCAGACUCCUACGGGAGGCAGCAGUGGGGAAUAUUGGACAAUGGGCGAAAGCCUGAUCCAGCAAUGCCGCGUGAGUGAUGAAGGCCUUAGGUUGUAAAGCUCUUUUACCCGGGAUGAUAAUGACAGUACCGGAGAAUAAGCUCCGGCCUAACUCCGUCGCCAGCAGCCGC
Molecule: ribosomal RNA, 447 nt
Filed under: uncultured soil bacterium
Lineage: Bacteria
Description: bacterial SSU rRNA
Rfam family: Bacterial small subunit ribosomal RNA
Source: RNAcentral